Long non-coding RNA from Peromyscus californicus insignis, 9646 nucleotides. RefSeq lists it as uncharacterized. NCBI's taxonomy places the organism in Eukaryota, Metazoa, Chordata, Mammalia, Rodentia, Cricetidae. The transcript is spliced from 3 exons. The record is from RefSeq and is a predicted model, not a curated record.
UUAGAAUAAUUAAUACAUCUAUCACCUUAAAAUUUUGUCAAUUUUUUUAUGGUAAAAUUUUUCAAAAUGAAAGGGGCAAUAUUUUAAAAGGUUUUCAAAUUAUCGUGCCACAAAAGACCAUCUCAUCUUAUCGUAAGAUUGUUCUUUUCUGUUGGUCAAGCCCCUCCUUACUUUCCUCUCACCUCCCCUGUCUCUUGUAAGCAUCAUUGUAAGUUCCUCCUGAGGUCCGCUUAUAUAGAAUCUACAUGAGUAACAUUAUGUGCUAUUGCACAAGGCUUUCCUAGUAGCAUAGUAUUCCAUCUUGCCAUCCAGCACAUUGUCCACUCAUCUGUUGGUGGACGUUUAAGUACAUCAUAUGUAAAUGUUAACAGUCCCGUGAUGACCACAGAGAACAGAGGUCUCUUCCAUGAGAUGGUUUUGUUUCCUUUAGUACAUAUUAGGAGUGAGAUUGGCAGUUCUAUUCUUAGCUUUUUGAGGAAUUUUUCCACUGUCUUCUGCUGUGGAUGAUUUAUUGAUAAAUAAAAUGCUGAUUGGCCAGUAGCCAGGCAGGAAGUAUAGGUGGGACAAGGAGAGAAGAGAAUUUUGUGGAGUGGAAGGCUGAGGCAGAGAGAUGCUGCCGGGUGCCUCCAUGACAAGCAACAUGUAAAGUACUGGUAAACCACGAGCCAUGUGACAUGGUGUAGAUUAAUAGAAAUGGGUUAAGAUAUAAGAACUAGAUAACAAGAAGCCUGCCACGGCCAUACAGUUUAUAAGUAAUAUAAGUCUCUGUGUGUUUACUUGGCUGCGGGACUGGCGGGUGAGAGAGAUUUGUCCUGACCCUGGGCCAGGCAGGACCAGGGAAACUUCAGCUACAGUCUUCCAUAAUGAGUGCACUAACAGGUAUUUUCCUGAUUAACUGUGCAUAAGAGUUUCCUUUGCAGUCUUCCAAAUAUUAAGUACUUGUGUAUCUGUGUGUGUGUGUGUGUGUGUGUGUGUGUGUGUGUGUGUGUGUAUGUGUGUGUGUUUGAUUUUGGAGUAAUUGUCUUUCUAGCUAGGGAGAGGGCAUGUCCAUUGUGGUUCUGAUGUGCAAUUUCUUGAUGGUUACUGAUGUCAAGAAGGUUUUCAUGCCUGUGGUGGCCAUCUGUGAGUCUAAGUCUUUUUCUUCAGUUGUGCUGGUUAUCUGUAAGCCCUUCUGCGACUUGCCCCUCAAUUUGUUAGCCAUCUGAGUCUUCCAGGGUCUCCUCACUUCCUCAGUUCACAGAACCACUGGAACUGAGGACUUUUGGACUGUAAAAAUCAGAUUAUCUUAGAUCUUUAUAAACUAGAAUAUUAAAUCCUUAUCAGAUGUGUAGUCCACAUCUUUUUUUCUCCAUCUGAAUGUUGUGUUUUAGGGUUUUUUCCAAUAGUUGUUUCCUUUGCAGUGGAGAAGUACUUAGUACUAUAGUUUCACUUGUCAAUCUUGAUUUCCAUCCUUCUGGAGCCAUAGCAAAAACGUCCUUACCUAGCUGGGCGGCAGUGGCACACACCUUUAAUCCUAGCACUUGGGAGGCAGAGCCAGGCAGAUCUUUGUUAGUUCGAGGCCAGCCUGCUCUACAGAGUGAGUUCCAGGACAGGCACCAAAACUACACUGAGAAACCCUGUCUUGAAAAACAAAACAAAAAAAAAACAAAAAAAAGUCUUUAUCUGGGUAAUGUCCUGAAGGGUUUCUUAAAAGAGUUUAACAUUUGUAGAUUUAUUUUUAUUUGUAGCUUGUAAGAGAUAGGAGCUUGUAAGAGAUAGGAGCCUAAUUAUAUUCUUCUGCAUAAUGAUAGCAGAUUUUUGGAGCAUUGUUUAUUGAGAGGUAAUUUAUUUUAUUUUUCAAUGUGCAUUCUUGCCUCCUUUGUUAAAAUUCCCAUGGUUAAGAAUGAGGUUGAAUCUCAGUGCCAGAGAGCCUGUCAAACAUGUAUACAGUAGCCAAGUUCAGUCUUCAACACUGCUUCACACACACACACACACACACACACACACACACACACACACACAUUAGCAUAAAUGUGUAAAGUUACUUUUGGAUUCCGUAUUCUGUCCUGCUUUUCAGUGUCUAUUUUUCUGCCAAUUGUUUGUUAUUUGAGUUUGAAGUCAGGUGAUGUAAUGAUUCCCAUUUUCUGUUUCACUUAUUUCUGGGAUUUUUUCUUUUUCAAGUUGAAUGCUCACAGUGUCUAAAUGUAGUAUGGAAAUUAUGUGGAUUCAUGUCCUGUGCCACUGCUGAUUUUCCUUUAAAAACAUUUGAGGGCAUUGUUAGCACCCAGAAGCACAUAUUUCAGAAGCUACAGAGAAUAUAGAUUGUGAUAGCAAAAAUUCAAAGUGAGAAGAUAGAGGUAAAAUGAACCAUUUUAUUUUCCCUUAAGCCAGAAUUACUUGAUUAUGAUAAGUUGUUAUUAUUACAAGGUAUUUUUAGUAAGCUUUUAGGUCAACACAAGGUAAAACAUAUAAUAUACAUACCAAAAAUAAAAAUUAAACACAAAGAAUCAUGUGCACCAGAAUGAAAAUCAGUGAACAACAAGGAAGACACUGUAGAGAAGACAGAAAAGAACACCCUGCAAGACAAACAGGAGAAAAGUAGCACCAUCCGGGUGCUAAGUCCUCAACAGACAGAAUUCCUUUAACGUAAACAGUAUACAUUUUCUGAAUGAGUGGCAUGCAGCAAAGGAGUUGGUAGAAAUGGAAGAUUCAGUGUAUGUAGUCUAGGAAGAUAACUUUACCCGAAGGAACGAGGCUGAAAGACCAUGAAUGACAAAGGACAUUCUGUGCCAAUGGAAACAAAAUGAGAACAGGAAGAAAUGCAGAUAAAACAGACCAGGUCAGAACUAUGAAUCAAGGCAAACACGGCCGUUAUGUGUUGGUGGAGGCUUCCAAACAGCAAGACUACAUCAGUGUAAAUACAUUUGCACCCACCACUGACACAUCAGAACACACAGGCAAACAUUAGGAGACUGAAAGAUAUGUUAAAUCUAGUGCAAAGACAAUAAAGGGACUAGUCCAGAGUCACGCAGACAGAAAUGUCAGCAAGGAAAUAAAGGGUUCUUAAAAGAGCUAUUCACAUGUUUUUAAACCAAUCCUAAAGCUAAAUAUAAUGAAGUUUGCAAGAAAUAUGCUUCUUCCAAAAAUGUGCUCCACCUUCAACUUGAGAAUUGUUCUCUUAGCAUUAAAACAAAUAAUGGUGCUCUUGAAAUAUUGAGAACAUUCAGAGAUACUCUGUUUUAAUGGAGUUUGCCUUCGUGGCCCGAAGUGCUCUUUUUUUCUUUUUUCCUCCCCAAAACAUAUUUAUUCUCUGGCAGCAUCAGAGGAUUUAGCAAACUGAACGCACUGUUUUAACUUAACCCUGCCUUGUCCUCAUCUAGCUCAUCAUUAAUUUUAGUAACUUAUAAGCAAGACAAAUCUCACACUUCACAAAAACCAUGGAGCCCAUUCAUUUCAAGGAGCCAGUGUUGCCACCAUGCCCUCUGUCACUGGGGAGGAUGGGGUAUGUUAACACUUAGGUCUCCUACCUGGGGGAGCAGAACAUGUGGAGGCUGUGGAGCAUGCACUUUACAUUCCCUGAAGUCUCUGUCACAUGUUGUAGUAGCUCUGAUUGUAAAUCAAUUCCAUUUCUAGCAUUAUAAGAAGGCUCCUGUUGUUUAAAUCCAUGAAGGCUGCCCUAUGGCCUUUCCACAAUAUCAUAAACAGUUGUGGUCUAAACCAGCCAAACAUCUCUGCUAAGCCUAGAGAUCCAUUCAGGGAAGAAUUGAAUAGGAAAGCCAUAUAUUUCUUUAUUAUUCAUGGUUAGUAUUUAUUUUUAAUUCCUUUACACUAAAUUUAAAUAUCACAUUAAACAGAGAACUGUACAUGUAAAUGGGUGAUGUGGUGUUGGACAGAGUGUAUGCUGUGUAAUGCAUGGGUAGGUUUAAAGACAUCUAUCUCCUCAAAUACUUAUCAUUUCUCCAGGAUAAUAAGUUUAAGAGAACUUUCUUCUAACUUCUUGAAAGGAUUACUCCUACAUACAGUCCCUGCUUUACAUUAGUCCACUCCAGAACUCUGUUACCUAUGAUGAAGCACCCUUGACUAACCUAUGCCCAGCCUUCCUUUGGUACUGCCCUCCUGCCUCUGAUAAAUAUCACUCUAUUCUCAACUGAUAGUAUUACAUUCUAGAGAUGUAACUGUCUCAUGCAGAGCAAAAAAGUAUAAUCUAGCCUAGCUUGUAAUAGCUGCUCUCAAAAAGGGAACCCAAUGCAAAGGAGGACUGACCUGUUUAUAGAGAUACAAAGAACCUGAAGAAUGGAAUGUUGAUGACAUUGUUGAACCAUUGGAAUUUCAAGUUACAUGAACAAUGGUUGCAUCCUGUAUCACUUAAUAUCAAAACCACUUGAUGUGGUUACACCAUUUGGUUUGUAAUUAAGUUAUUCACACAAGAUUAUUGUAUAAAAAAUGUCCCAUGAUUCUAAAAAUUAAAUGACCUUGGACCUCCCUGCAGCUGGAAAGCUUCCACUCUUGUGAGCUAAAUUAUUUUAUUGAUGUAAAAGUUGACUUGCUUAAUUCAGCUUAAACUGUUGGCUUGUGUUUGUGAAGAAUCCUGUUUAACUAUGAGCCAGAUUCCCCUUGAAGGAGACCCAGGGUCCACAAAGGUUGGGGAGCUGAAUCAGGCUAGAGUUGUUGUCUGCUGAACCUGCGUUCUGAGGGUGUGGAUGUGGAUGGUGUUAGAAUAAACUUUGGAGUCAGCUCUCUCCUUCUAUUGUGUGGUUCCCAGGAAUCAAACUCAGGUCAUCAGGACUUAUAAGCCUCAUCCUGAUGAAAAAAUUAAAUGCAGUUCUUUACCUUUAAAAAUAAAGAUACAUGCAAACUUUCAAUUGCUGAAAUUUUAGUUAUUCUACACAAUUCAGUAAAUACUGCUAACACUGUACUUAAUCAUUAAAGUAGACAUUUAAGGAGUGCAUAAGAGGUAUAUGCUUAUCACAGUUACUCAACAUUGUAUCAUGGUAUAAACUAAAAUAAUAAGAUAAACCAUAGUAUUUAACAAGCAUGUAUUACAAAGCUUUUCACAUACAUGUAAAAUUUAAAGAAGUAUUUUUCCUCAAAUCCCAUGAUUUAUCUUUUUAAUUCAUGUUUCAUUUAAUACUCAUACAUGCAUUUAAUGUGUUUUAAUCAAAUCCACCCAAUUAUUUCCCUACAAUUCCAUUCAUAUGCCCCUACCACUUUUCUCUCCCAACUUCAUAUGCUAGUUUCUAAUUAUUUAAUAUCUACUGAGUUCCAUUUAAUUCUGCCUAUACAUUCAUGAGUAUGGACCUGUCUAUGGGAGCAUGACUCCUCUUGGGUUAAGGAACCCUGUAGAAAAUACAAUAAUUUCCCUCUUCUCAUAGACAUAAGUCAUGUGUAUCUUCUUAGAUGGAGUGAGACUCAUGAGUCCCUCCGCAUGAUCCAUGUUGGGAUAUUUGUAGCUUGAUCUUGUACAGGCUUUGUGUUUGUGGUCAGAGUCACUGUGAGCUCAUAUUGCAAUGAUGCUUUAACACCUGGCAAAUACUAUUUCAGGGCAGGUGUCCACUUCUGAAUCUGUCAGCAUUCCUGCCCCUUCCCUCUUCAGUGAUGCCAGAGACUUGGAUUGAGUGUGUGAUAAAGAUGUCCCAUUUAGAACCAAACAUUCCAUAUUCUUUUAUUCUCUGCAAGAUGACCAUUUUGAUCUCUUUAUUAAUCACCUUCUAUUGCAGAAAGAAACUUAUCUAGUAAGGGCUGAUGAUUCACUGGUUUAUGGGCAUAAAGAUAAGAACUCUGAGUACAGAUCAAUAUUAUGACCAUUUAGCAGAAUAAUAUGAUGCAGUUCUCUGGUAGGGCCUAUGACCUAGCCAGCCAGGAUUUUUUUGUUUGUUUGGCCAAGUUAACAUUAGAUGGCAUGAAUUCUUUCAUGCAGAGAGAUCUUUAAAUCCAGUCAAAAGUGGUUGGGUUUUCCCAUAGUAUUAUGUUACUAUUGCAUCAUUGGACCUACCUUACCAGACCAUAGGUUAUCUUUGCUAGCAGGUUCACAGUUGAGAAGACUGUUACUGGCUUCUCUUCCCUGGUAGUGUUCACAGAACAUUCUGGCACUGUGGGUUUUAUCCAAUAAGAAGGAAACUACCAUCUUGAUUUUUCCUGGUCUUAUGUCUGAGCCUUUUGGACUGCAUCAGAGUCUAGAAGGUAACCAAAAGCAACAGCAAUAGGUUGUAAUGUUUUAGGGCAUCUGCAGGACCCCAUUGACCAACAACCCACACCUACUGCUAUUUUUUUAUCUGAAAGUCUGUGGUAUCUAGGAGAGGAAUUGUUGCCUCACUAUAGAGUAACUCUAAUUACAUUCCUUAAUAUAUGACUGUGUAUAUAUUUUGAGAACCUUCUACAAUUUGCAAAGUUCCUUAGUUAUCACUCCUCAUCGUCUCUUCUAGCCAGCUCCCAUCUCCCAUCCUGUUUAACUUUUCUUGUCCUAUUAUUCUGCUUUCUCCAUUCAUACCAUUUGCAUUCUAUCCCUAUUACCAUGAAUCCACCUGCAUGACCCCUCAGUAGUUCCCUAUCCUCUAUCAGACUCUAAACAUACACAUGUCUGAAGAUCCAAAGGAAGAGUUCACUUAUGAGGCAGAACAUGUAGCAUUGGUCUUUCCAGGUCGAGCUCCACACUUGAAGUCAACUUAGUGUUCUACUCUAAUUUCUGUGCCACAUGUCUAGCAAUGCUCUUUAUCAUUAUAAUAUAUAUAAAGUUUGGUGGUGUGGGAUAAUUUUUUGUAUACUAUGAAGAUGAGUCUCUGUUUUACCUCACCUAAGAUGCCUUCUGAUUGGUUUAAUAAAGAGCUGAAUGGCUAAUAGUUAGGCAGGACAAGAUAGGCAGGGCUUCCAGGGAAAGAGAGGAGCUCAAAGGAAGAAUCUGAGAGGUGAGGAUUCUCCAGGGAGACGCAGGAAGUUGGACAUACUGUACUGAGGAGAAGUAUUGAGACAUAUGGCAGAAUGUAGAUUAAUAUAAAAGGGUUAAUUUAAUUUGUAAGAGCUAGUUGUGUAUAAGCCUAAACUAAGGCCAAGCUUUCAUACUUAGUAAUAAGUCUCUGUCUCAUUAUUUGGGAAGUGGUGAUCCAAAGAAAGUCCAAAUACAUUUGAUGUUCGACGUCAGGCACUUAGGGUCUAAAAACAGAUGGUAUACUGCUCAGCUGGAAACUAGGUAGAAAUGCCUGUUGUAGUUCUGCCCAACAACUUCCCAGAGCUGGGUGGGUAAGUACAGCUCCUGACCAGUGAUGUCAGGCAUAAAGCUGGGCUCUCACAGACCUGAGGGGUCAGAGACAGCAGCCAGCACCACGUUCUAAGUAAAGCCACAAAGGGAACCUGCAGACACACAGAAGGGCUUUGCAACAUUUUUGCAACAAUUUCCUGGAGCCGGGCAUGCAGAAAGCUAGGUCCAGAUGAGAAAAACUCUGAGCAGGUAUAGUAUGCUUAAAGAUGUGUUUAGGAACUGAAAAAAGAAAAGAAAAUGAGUAAAGUCUUUAAAAAGAGAGUAAAGUAAUAUAAAAAGGAAUGAGCCACAUGAAGAUGAGAAGUAUUCUACAGGAAGCUUGGAUCCUAUAUAAUGCAUUAUUAAUUUAAAAUGUUUAAAUGCUAAUGAACAAAAAAUGACAGCUGCUGAGAGACAUUGGAUUUGGAAAAAAAAAGCUACUAAUUUUAAUCAUCCAAUAUAUUUUAAGGAUGUCUUAACUUCAUAAUGAAAGUCAGGAAAUUAAUUGCAUUGGAGGAGAGGUAAUGCUUUUAUUUCCACAGGAAACAAAGAAUUAUGGACUCCCUCAGAAUUAUUAAAGGUCGGGUUUGACUAGGGGAGAACUCCUGAAAAUCUUGGAUGCAGACAUGAAGGAAGAGAAUCAAGAAGAAAAACUACAGGACAGGGUCUGCUAAAGAUGCUGUUAUCCCCAGACAACAGGAAGCAGUGUAGAGAAUGUGACAUCCACAUUCCCAAAAGUGAGACAUGUCUGCUCCUUGCUGCACCAAUCUACUUCAAAGAAGAGGAUAACAUCAAAGAACCCCCAUAUGGAGUCUGCUUUCAAUGUGGCAAAGCUAGCUACUGGGCAAGACACUGCCCUUGCCUUUACUGGUGACAGUAUGUUCUCCAAACUGGACAAUCUGUACACAAAUGAAGUUGACUGCUUAUAUUUGCCAAGACAAGGUAGGCAAGUCCUUCAAAACUCCUGCUAAACAGAAAAGUCUGCCAAAUAUUCUAGACUUGCAGGUCAAAGACAAGAUGGAUGCUCAAACAUUGCAGAGGAACCUUGGGUGACUGUCCAGGCAGCCUGCUGUCUUUAUCAUUUCUCACAGUUUUGGGAGUUGCUUGUUCACACUUCCCAUUUAUUCAGGUAACAUUUUAUCCUUCUCAGACCUCUGAUAGGGGUGAGCACUCAAUUAGUUAUAGUUUUACAGUUUUUCUUGUUACCAAAUUUAGAAAAGAAACUUACAAAAGAGAUACAAAGUUUAAAAGGUUGAGAGACAUAAAAACUUAAGUUGUGUUGCUAGAGUUUUCCUGCCUUGCCCACAGUCAGGACAAAUCUCUCUCACCUGCCAGUCCCACAGCCGCUCAGACCCAACCAAGUAAACACAGAGACUUAUAUUGCUUACAAACUGUAUGGCUGUGGCAGGCUUCUUGCUAACUGUUCUUACAGCUUAAAUUAAUCCAUUUCCAUAAAUCUAUACCUUGCCAUGUGGCUUGUGGCUUACUGGCAUCUUCACAUGCUGCUUGUCAUGGCAGUGACUGGCAGUGACUCCUUCUGCCUUCCUGUUCUUUCUUUUCUCCUCUCUGUUAGUCCCGCCUAUACUUCCUGCCUAGCCACUGGUCAAUCAGUGUUUUAUUUAUUGACCAAUCAGAGCAAUUUGACAUACAGACCAUCCCACAGCAAAGUUGUUUACCUAAGAAAAUACUUUAAAAUCUAAAAAGAUGUUUUUAGGUUGGUAAUAUAAGUUACAUUAGAAAGUGGUUUUGAUAAAAACUUUGGACUCACCAAGAAAGGCUAGAUAAUAGAGCAAUUUCUCUGAAGUUGCCAAAUACAAAUGGACUGGAUAUGUGAAUGUGAUUUUUACCUGAUAAUUGUUCUUAUUAUGUAUAAGUUUACUGUGUUAGAGUUAAAAAUCUUUCCUUUUUAUUUAGACAAAAAUGGAGAAAUGUUGUAGGAUAAUCUUUUUGUAUACCUUGAAGAUGUGUCUCAGUUUUACCUCACCUGUCUAAGGCACCUUCCAAUUGCUUUAAUAAAGAGCUGAAUGGUCAAUAGCUAGGCAGCAGAAGAUAGAUGGGACUUCUGGCAAAAGAGAGGAACUCAGGAAGAACCUGAGAGGCAACGAUUUGCCAGUAAGACACGGAGGAAGUAAGAUCUACUGUUCUGGGGAGAGGUAACAAGCCACAUAGUAGAACAUAGAUUAAUAUAAACAGGUUAAUUUAAGCUUAAGAGCUAGUUGGGAACAAGCCUAAGCUAAGGCCAAGAUUUUAUAUUUAAUAAGUCUCUGUGUCAUUAUUUGGGAGUUGGUGGUCCAAAGAAAUUCCAACUAGAGUUUGGUUGAUUUUGUUUAAAUUAGCAUCAUUUAGAUGUCUAUAGCUUUUCUUUUACAAAAAUUUUGAAAUAUCAAUUUCAUUUUUUAAAAUCAAUUUAGUAAAUUUUUAAUAUCAAUUUUUAUA